RNAcentral lists this ribosomal RNA (492 nucleotides) under uncultured bacterium. RNAcentral describes it as "partial 16S ribosomal RNA". It matches the Rfam family "Bacterial small subunit ribosomal RNA", at positions 28 to 507 of the family's 1533-position model. The record is from RNAcentral.
GAUGAACGCUCGCUACAGGCUUAACACAUGCAAGUCGAGGGGAAACGACAUCGAAAGCUUGCUUUUGAUGGGCGUCGACCGGCGCACGGGUGAGUAACGCGUAUCCAACCUGCCCACCACUUGGGGAUAACCUUGCGAAAGUAAGACUAAUACCCAAUGAUAUCUCUAGAAGACAUCUGAAAGAGAUUAAAGAUUUAUCGGUGAUGGAUGGGGAUGCGUCUGAUUAGCUUGUUGGCGGGGUAACGGCCCACCAAGGCAACGAUCAGUAGGGGUUCUGAGAGGAAGGUCCCCCACAUUGGAACUGAGACACGGUCCAAACUCCUACGGGAGGCAGCAGUGAGGAAUAUUGAUCAAUGGACGAGAGUCUGAACCAGCCAAGUAGCGUGCAGGAAGACGGCCCUAUGGGUUGUAAACUGCUUUUAUAAGGGAAUAAAGUGAGUCUCGGGAGACUUUUUGCAGGUACCUUAUGAAUAAGGACCGGCUAAUUCCGUG